Molecule: unclassified non-coding RNA, 339 nt
Filed under: Hevea brasiliensis (rubber tree)
Lineage: Eukaryota; Viridiplantae; Streptophyta; Magnoliopsida; Malpighiales; Euphorbiaceae
Source: RNAcentral
UGCAUCGCUCAGAAAAAGAUAACCAAAUGGUACCAUUAUAUUUUUAUGGCAGUGAACAAAUGAAAAGUUGAUUGGCAUAGGGGAAAAAAAAAAGAACUAGAAGAAAAUACUCAAUCAGAAGAAUUUACGCGUUCACCCAUUGUAGUUCAUCCACCAAAACCAAAAAGAAAAGAAAAGGAAAGUGAAGAAAGAAAGAAAGAAUUUACAGGGUUUACCAUUUUCAAGGACUACAUUAAUGGAACGAAAGGCAAUUAACAAUUCAGUAUUAUGAUGAGAACAAGUAAAUUAUGUUUCAAUCCACAAACAUGUUCAGGUUUUUGCAUUACAUUAGAGACUAUG